RNAcentral lists this ribosomal RNA (256 nucleotides) under uncultured bacterium. Its description in RNAcentral is "partial 16S ribosomal RNA". It matches the Rfam family "Bacterial small subunit ribosomal RNA", at positions 15 to 263 of the family's 1533-position model. The record is from RNAcentral.
GAUCAUGGCUCGGAUUUGAACGCUGGCGGCAGGCCUAACACAUGCAAGUCGAACGGUAACAGGAAGAAGCUUGCUUUCUUUGCUGACGAGUGGCGGACGGGUGAGUAAUGUCUGGGAAACUGCCUGAUGGGAGGGGGAUAACUACUGGAAACGGUAGCUAAUACCGCAUAACGUCGCAAGACCAAAGGAGGGGGACCUUCGGGCCUCUUGCCAUCGGAUGCGCCCAGAUGGGAUUAGCUAGUAGGUGGGGUAACGG